This is a long non-coding RNA of Sphaerodactylus townsendi, 511 nucleotides long. RefSeq lists it as uncharacterized. The transcript is spliced from 2 exons. NCBI's taxonomy places the organism in Eukaryota, Metazoa, Chordata, Lepidosauria, Squamata, Sphaerodactylidae. The record is from RefSeq and is a predicted model, not a curated record.
CUAUGGUGCUUAAGCCCUGGGAACGCGUCACUUCCGUUCCUGGCCUGCCGCCUUGCCCUCUCUCGCUGCCCGGUCAAGGAGAAAGGGGGUCGCCGCCGCCGCCAUGUCUUUACAGGUGCUGAGAAGGGGGCUGCGGCUUCCGGGCUUGGCCGCCCGCCCUGCCCGGAGCAUCGCUUCCAACCCGCCCAAGGACCCCAUAGGGCCGCUGGAGACUGUCAUCGGCCUGACUACUUUCUUCCUGACAUUCAUGGUACCAUCUUGCUACAUCCUGGUAAACCUCGAAAACUACAAAAAGAGAGAAUAAGGAGGAAAGUCUGAACUCCUGACCCGAAGCUCUGAUGCGAUCUCUCUAUGAUUUCCUCCAUUUCAGAAGGGGGGGGGCUGGCAUGCCCUUCCUCUGUGAAGACCAGCGUCCUGAAAUAUAUUCCAUGCUGCUUCCUGGACCACAUAGGAUGUAGUUCUAGACAGCUGUUCUUCGGAGAUUGUCUGUUACAAUAAAUACUGUUACUGA